Molecule: transfer RNA, 73 nt
Filed under: Trichonephila clavata
Lineage: Eukaryota; Metazoa; Arthropoda; Arachnida; Araneae; Nephilidae
Rfam family: tRNA
About the family: Transfer RNA (tRNA) molecules are approximately 80 nucleotides in length. Their secondary structure includes four short double-helical elements and three loops (D, anti-codon, and T loops).
Source: Rfam by way of RNAcentral
GUCCCUGUAGCGCAAUGAAUAGCGCGUUGGACUUCUAAUCCAAAGGUCGUGGGUUCGCAUCUCACCUGGGAUG